GUUCGCGGCCGUAGCGCGGUGGUCCCACCUGACCCCAUGCCGAACCAGAAGUGAAACGCCGUAGCGCCGAUGGUAGUGGGGUUUCCAUGCGAGAGUAGGGAACUGCCAGCA
RNAcentral lists this ribosomal RNA (111 nucleotides) under Salmonella enterica subsp. enterica. Lineage: Bacteria; Pseudomonadati; Pseudomonadota; Gammaproteobacteria; Enterobacterales; Enterobacteriaceae. The record is from RNAcentral.